Molecule: long non-coding RNA, 1145 nt
Filed under: Homo sapiens (human)
Lineage: Eukaryota; Metazoa; Chordata; Mammalia; Primates; Hominidae
Description: HSALNT0082987
Source: RNAcentral
UCCUUCACAAGUCUUUGCCAUUCAACCCAGGGUUCAGGCCUCGAGGAGGCCACGUGGGGGUGCCAGGCUCCAGGGGACCCUCAGGGAACUGAGUGUGGCCACGUGGCCCCGAGAGUCUGCCCUCUCUCACGGCCGCAGGGCUCAGAGGACACUGGGCCUCCUUGCUGCCUUCCCGGCCGUGAGGGUCCAGGGACCAGGAGACGCCAGGGCCGUGAGGGUGUGGGAGAGACCACCCAGGGAGGGGGAGGCCCCCGACGAGUCCCCCCGCACAGCUGCUGCCUCUCUGCUGGGCUGGAGCGGAGCCCACCACCCCUCUGGGCUGAGGCUCGGGCUGAGGAGGGGUUUGUCCCUGGAGCCGGACGGGCCCCAGGAGACAGCAGAGAGCAGCCUGGCCAGGGGUUUCUGUGCUGGCGCCUGGGAGGGGACAGAUCAGGGUCAUCUCUGCGGUGACUAAACCCCGAGUUUGCUGUGAGCUCCUAAGCCCCAGCAGCCUCUGGCCAGUGUCACAACACCCCGAGGAAGUGACAGAUGCCAGAAGAACCAGCGUUCAGGGAGUUAAAGUUCCAUGUUGGAACGGGAACCACACAAGCCUUCUCCUCUUCCAAACUCAGGCCUCAGGACACGAAUCCCCUUCAAGGUCAUCUUUAAACGCGGCCUCCUGGCACGGCCGCCCCCAGGGCAGUGAUGGCCCCCAUGGAUGUCCUGGGGUCGGCCGCGUUCAGACUCCCCGGCCGGCAGCCUUCCCGUCUGGACAGUUGCCCACGGCCGUGCCAGGAGGGCUCAUGCCACCAGACCGCAUGUUCCAGGCCUUUCUCCACCACGUGCUUUGCCUGUGCAAGGGCCUCUGAUGCCUGAAGCUCUCGCAGGGCCUGUCCCCACACUGCCCGGACAGCCCCCGGGCCAGCACUGCCAUGUCGACCCUUUCCCAUGGGGCACGUUUGGCCUUGAGACGCUCCACAGGGCUUGGCCUCUGGUCUGCAGAGAUCAGUUGCAGCCUCCCAGCUCUCUUGGACUCCCAGGAAUGGGAUGGACCUGCCGGCCAUGGGCAUCUCUGUUCCAGAACCUCAGGCAGCACCCAGCUUUGACCAGCUGGGCUCUGCCUGAGGUCCCUGGACCCACCUGGUCAAAGCUGUAGCAUCCCCGGC